RNAcentral lists this ribosomal RNA (375 nucleotides) under uncultured bacterium. RNAcentral's name for it is "bacterial SSU rRNA". It matches the Rfam family "Bacterial small subunit ribosomal RNA", at positions 362 to 756 of the family's 1533-position model. The record is from RNAcentral.
UUUUCCGCAAUGGGCGAAAGCCUGACGGAGCGACGUCGUGUGUGGGACGAAGGUCUUCGGAUCGUAAACCACUGUCAGAGGGGACGAAAUUGACUGUACCCUCAGAGGAAGCCCCGGCUAACUAUGUGCCAGCAGCCGCGGUAAUACAUAGGGGGCGAGCGUUGUCCGGAAUUACUGGGCGUAAAGCGCGCGUAGGUGGCUUGGUAAGUCAGGUGUGAAAGGCGGCAGCUCAACUGCCGUAAGUCAUCUGAGACUGCCGAGCUCGAGAUCAGGAGAGGGAAGCGGAACUACCGGUGUAGCGGUGAAAUGCGUAGAUAUCGGUAGGAACACCAGUGGCGAAGGCGGCUUCCUGGCCUGUUCUACACUGAGUCGAAG